CGGGGUGCAGCAGGCGCGAAAACUUUACAAUGCUGGCAACAGCGAUAAGGGGACCUCGAGUGCCAGGAUACAAUCUUGGCUGUCGCGAUGCCUAAAAAGCAUUGCAUAGCAAGGGCCGGGCAAGACCGGUGCCAGCCGCCGCGGUAACACCGGCGGCUCGAGUGGUAACCGCUAUUAUUGGGUCUAAAGGGUCUGUAGCCGGCCGGAUAAGUCUUUUGGGAAAUCCAGCUGCCCAACAGUUGGGCUUUCAGAAGAUACUGUUCGGCUCGAGACCGGGAGAGGUGAGAGGUACUUCAGGGGUAGGGGUGAAAUCUUGUAAUCCUUGAAGGACCACCAGUGGCGAAGGCGUCUCACCAGAACGGAUCUGACGGCAAGGGACGAAAGCUAGGGGCACGAACCGGAUUAGAUACCCGGGUAGUCCUAGCCGUAAACGAUACUCGCUAGGUGUCAGCCACGGUGCGACCGUGGUUGGUGCCGUAGGGAAGCCGUGAAGCGAGCCACCUGGGAAGUACGGCCGCAAGGCUGAAACUUAAAGGAAUUGGCGGGGGAGCAC
RNAcentral lists this ribosomal RNA (553 nucleotides) under uncultured archaeon. Its description in RNAcentral is "bacterial SSU rRNA". It matches the Rfam family "Archaeal small subunit ribosomal RNA", at positions 326 to 879 of the family's 1478-position model. The record is from RNAcentral.